Molecule: long non-coding RNA, 1911 nt
Filed under: Salmo salar (Atlantic salmon)
Lineage: Eukaryota; Metazoa; Chordata; Actinopteri; Salmoniformes; Salmonidae
Description: lncRNA (ENSSSAG00000084613.1, ENSSSAG00000121227.1)
Source: RNAcentral
CUCAUGUUUGGUGUUGUACCCGUAGAAGUUUACAGUAAUGAGUGUAAUGUCAUUGUAACAUGAUCACAAUACAAAUAAAGUGACCAAAGGGGUCACAUUAAGAGUGUAGAAUAGUACCACCAAAGGUAUUUUUUAUUGUAGUGACACCAGCGGAGCGUUCAGAUCCGUGGGAAAGCCAAAUAUCGUUGCCGCACUGUGACCUCCAGAAGUUGGCAUCAGCCGAAAUUGAGUGAGACUUGAAAAAAGCUAAAUCUGUUUAGCAAAUAAAAAUAAGGCCUUGCGCUUCACAUUGUUUCAUAACCCCCUAGCAUUAAGAGAAACUAUAUGCGAAGACAAAACAAAGAUAAUAUAAAAGAAUAAACUGUAAUAGGAUGAGUCAAAAACGUAGGAGCAGUGAAAGUAAGCGAUAAGGAACCGAGAUCUGCACCAUUUAAGUCAACUUAAAAGUGAAAAUAGCUUAUUCCAUAAACUCUGAGCAAGAUGUUAUCCGGCUUUUUAAAUUCAACUCAACAGAAAAUUAUGUUCAAGACCAAACCAAGGGUUCUUUGUAGUAAGAGAGACUAAAAACCCUCUUUAGUGUAAUCAGGAACUAUUCUGAGAAAUAAAAUACAAAAUAAUAAUUUAAAUAAAAGUGUACCUACUAUUUUAAGUGCAUAUGAAAACUGAUCAUAAAAAUGUGUAUAAAAAAUGUUUUACAUAUACAUGUUCCUAAGACCUUUUGCAACUUGGAAAUAAGUACUAAUAACUAAAUAGAAAAACUACCGUGUAAAGUCAGAGCAGACCUGUAUGCCCUUUAAAACAGUAUCUUAGUUACUGUAUACAUAAAAAAUAAAUACAACUUUCAGUCUUCUUCGUAAGUUUGUAAACAAAAUAGGCCUUCUGGUCAUACAAGAACAAACUAAUACAUUUCGGUGAUGUUUGUUAGGUAACGUUAAUCAAUACACGGAAAAUGUGAAUACCAUGGCCGAAACCAUCAAUCUGUUCCUUCUGGUGAGAUUUUAGGGAUUAAUAUGGAUUUCUGAAACGUUGAUGAAGCCUCGUCCUUCGACGAAGUAAGCAUCCUUUCCCUCCUUUCGUGCUUUCUUGAUCGUUGGCCAUGUCGAACUACAUUCGCCAAAAUACGAAGUAUACACGCAAUGAACACCAUUUCCGUACUUUUAGGGCCCAAAAUGCAAUUCUUCAGGAAAUGGGCGUGGCUUCACAACGUUUUCAGAUCUAAAGAAAAUGGCGGAAAAUAUGCAACCGAAGUACGACGAGCGGAAACAAAUUAAUUGCUUUACCUAAUUAUGACAAAUGACACUCCUCCACGACAUGAGGGCCAAGUGGAGAAAGAAGCGUAUGCGCAGGCUGAAGCGCAAGAGGCGAAAGAUGAGGCAGAGGUCCAAGUAGACUGCCUCCCCCUACAACACCAUGGCUGUGACCCUUCUGGACACAACACGGGACCAAGGAUCUCAUGUGCAAAGUCUGAUCAGAGCUGUGCCAUCAUUGCCAAUGAGAGGCUGCAAAGAGACAGUUCUACUGUUGUCUUGGUCAAGAGACUCCACCACCUGCCUGGGAAAUUUGAUAUGGGGACAUUCUGGAUUCUCUACUCUUCUACCAAACCUACCCUACUCCAUUGCUUUUGUUUAUAAUUUCCAAUAAAGUUUUUGGUUUAAAGUUGUCUUUGUUGCUUCUGAAACACGGUCCAGAAUGUAAUUCCUAUCAUACUGCAACCGUUUACCAUUAUUGCUGACUGAGUUCAGUUCUGGUGACUAGUCAAAUCAAACAUUCUUAUAGGUAACCCGUAUGUUGAUGCGCUUCCCUUAAACCAGUCUCUUAAAUGAACUAAGGUCAUCAGUAUGACUAUCUGAGGAAAGGUUAUGCUGCAUGCAUUUUCUCACAGGUUGUAAGAAGAGUGCAUGGGCUACUUAC